This 696-nucleotide ribosomal RNA is filed under the name uncultured bacterium. RNAcentral's name for it is "bacterial SSU rRNA". It matches the Rfam family "Bacterial small subunit ribosomal RNA", at positions 32 to 715 of the family's 1533-position model. The record is from RNAcentral.
AACGCUAGCUACAGGCUUAACACAUGCAAGUCGAGGGGAAACGAUAUUGGAAGCUUGCUUCCGAUAGGCGUCGACCGGCGCACGGGUGAGUAACGCGUAUCCAACCUGCCCAUCACUUGGGAAUAACCUUGCGAAAGUAAGACUAAUGCCCAAUGACAUUUAUAGAAGGCAUCCGAAGUGAAUUAAAGAUUUAUCGGUGAUGGAUGGGGAUGCGUCUGAUUAGCUUGUUGGCGGGGUAACGGCCCACCAAGGCGACGAUCAGUAGGGGUUCUGAGAGGAAGGUCCCCCACAUUGGAACUGAGACAUGGUCCAAACUCCUACGGGAGGCAGCAGUGAGGAAUAUUGGUCAAUGGGCGAGAGCCUGAACCAGCCAAGUAGCGUGCAGGAAGACGGCCCUAUGGGUUGUAAACUGCUUUUAUAAGGGAAUAAAGUGAGUCUCGUGAGACUUUUUGCAUGUACCUUAUGAAUAAGGACCGGCUAAUUCCGUGCCAGCAGCCGCGGUAAUACGGAAGGUCCGGGCGUUAUCCGGAUUUAUUGGGUUUAAAGGGAGCGUAGGCCGGAGAUUAAGCGUGUUGUGAAAUGUAGACGCUCAACGUCUGCACUGCAGCGCGAACUGGUUUCCUUGAGUACGCACAAAGUGGGCGGAAUUCGUGGUGUAGCGGUGAAAUGCUUAGAUAUCACGAAGAACUCCGAUUG